CAGUCGCCGCGGUAAUACGAAGGGGGCUAGCGUUGUUCGGAAUCACUGGGCGUAAAGGGUGCGUAGGCGGAUUCUUAAGUCAGGGGUGAAAUCCCGAGGCUCAACCUCGGAACUGCCUUUGAUACUGGGGAUCUUGAGUCCGGAAGAGGUGAGUGGAACUGCGAGUGUAGAGGUGAAAUUCGUAGAUAUUCGCAAGAACACCGGUGGCGAAGGCGGCUCACUGGUCCGGAACUGACGCUGAGGCACGACAGCGUGGGGAGCAAACAGGAUUAGAUACCCGAGUAGUCCCUGUCUCUUAUAC
RNAcentral lists this ribosomal RNA (301 nucleotides) under uncultured bacterium. RNAcentral describes it as "partial 16S ribosomal RNA". It matches the Rfam family "Bacterial small subunit ribosomal RNA", at positions 509 to 807 of the family's 1533-position model. The record is from RNAcentral.